This 252-nucleotide ribosomal RNA is filed under the name uncultured bacterium. RNAcentral's name for it is "partial 16S ribosomal RNA". It matches the Rfam family "Bacterial small subunit ribosomal RNA", at positions 524 to 775 of the family's 1533-position model. The record is from RNAcentral.
UACGGAGGGUGCAAGCGUUAUCCGGAUUCACUGGGUUUAAAGGGUGCGUAGGCGGGCAGGUAAGUCAGUGGUGAAAUCUUUGGGCUUAACCCGAAAACUGCCAUUGAUACUAUCUGUCUUGAAUAUUGUGGAGGUGAGCGGAAUAUGUCAUGUAGCGGUGAAAUGCUUAGAUAUGACAUAGAACACCCAUUGCGAAGGCAGCUCACUACGCAUAUAUUGACGCUGAGGCACGAAAGCGUGGGGAUCAAACAG